Molecule: transfer RNA, 82 nt
Filed under: Persicirhabdus sediminis
Lineage: Bacteria; Pseudomonadati; Verrucomicrobiota; Verrucomicrobiia; Verrucomicrobiales; Verrucomicrobiaceae
Rfam family: tRNA
About the family: Transfer RNA (tRNA) molecules are approximately 80 nucleotides in length. Their secondary structure includes four short double-helical elements and three loops (D, anti-codon, and T loops). Further hydrogen bonds mediate the characteristic L-shaped molecular structure. tRNAs have two regions of fundamental functional importance: the anti-codon, which is responsible for specific mRNA codon recognition, and the 3' end, to which the tRNAs corresponding amino acid is attached (by aminoacyl-tRNA synthetases). tRNAs cope with the degeneracy of the genetic code in two manners: having more than one tRNA (with a specific anti-codon) for a particular amino acid; and 'wobble' base-pairing, i.e. permitting non-standard base-pairing at the 3rd anti-codon position.
Source: Rfam by way of RNAcentral
GCCGAGAUGGUGGAAUUGGUAGACACGCUAGAUUUAGGAUCUAGUGCCUUCGGGCGUGCAGGUUCGACCCCUGUUCUCGGUA